This is a non-coding RNA of Zostera marina, 290 nucleotides long. It matches the Rfam family "Plant signal recognition particle RNA". The record is from Rfam. Lineage: Eukaryota; Viridiplantae; Streptophyta; Magnoliopsida; Alismatales; Zosteraceae.
GCUGAGCUCGAUAACGUGGGCUUGUCACCAAGUGGAGCAUUAAGAUAUUUGAAUAAUUUAGUAUUGAGCUCAAGGUUGACAUUAUGAGCUAGCUUUGAUUUGCCUGUUUCCAAGUUGGGCAGUGGAUGCUAUGUUUCAGGCUAACGCUUGAAUCAUAUUCUCCCUAAACUUAAGGGUAAUGCGUGAGGCUGGUUUCACAGAGCAGCGAUUACUUCUCACUCUCAACUUACAAGUCAUUUGCUCAUAUUGUCAAUUAGCCUUGGAAUCCACCAAAUUCAACAAAUAUUUUU